This 494-nucleotide ribosomal RNA is filed under the name uncultured bacterium. RNAcentral describes it as "partial 16S ribosomal RNA". It matches the Rfam family "Bacterial small subunit ribosomal RNA", at positions 30 to 507 of the family's 1533-position model. The record is from RNAcentral.
AUUGAACGCUGGCGGCAUGCUUUACACAUGCAAGUCGAACGGCAGCGGGGAGGAGCUUGCUUCUCUGCCGGCGAGUGGCGAACGGGUGAGUAAUACAUCGGAACGUUUCGAGAUGAGGGGGAUAACCACCCGAAAGGGUGGCUAAUACCGCAUAAAUUCUGAGGAAGAAAGCUGGGGACCUAGGAAUAGACCUAGCGCUUUUUGACCGGCCGAUGUCGGAUUAGCUAGUUGGUGAGGUAAAGGCUCACCAAGGCGAAGAUCUGUAGCGGGUCUGAGAGGAUGAUCCGCCACACUGGGACUGAGACACGGCCCAGACUCCUACGGGAGGCAGCAGUGGGGAAUGUUGGACAAUGGGGGCAACCCUGAUCCAGCCAUGCCGCGUGUAUGAAGAAGGCCUUAGGGUUGUAAAGUACUUUUGUUAGGGAAGAAAAGUCAGCUGUGAAUAAUGGCUGAUACUGACGGUACCUAAAGAAUAAGCACCGGCUAACUACGUG